Molecule: non-coding RNA, 242 nt
Filed under: Bacillus sp. (in: firmicutes)
Lineage: Bacteria; Bacillati; Bacillota; Bacilli; Caryophanales; Bacillaceae
Description: Bacillus sp. T-box sequence
Rfam family: T-box leader
About the family: Uncharged tRNA acts as the effector for transcription antitermination of genes in the T-box leader family.
Source: RNAcentral
AAAAAAGCGUUGACGGAGAAGAGUAGCUUGCAGAUGACCAUCAAGGGAGAAAAUGCCGCAGACUGGAAGCAUUUUUAUGGAACAGGCAAGUGAAUUCACCUCCAGAGCUGGCAUCGGGACCAUUCCUGGGAAUGUAAAGAUGCACCGGCCUAUGCCGUUAUCGUAAUGAAGUGAACAGACCAUACAUAUUUGUAUUGCCUGUUAAAAAGGGUGGUACCGCGAAACCAGACUUCGUCCCUUUA